CCUACGGGAGGCAGCAGUGAGGAAUAUUGGUCAAUGGGCUUACGCCUGAACCAGCCAAGUCGCGUGAGGGAAGACUGCCCUAUGGGUUGUAAACCUCUUUUGUCAGGGAGCAACGCCGGCUACGUGUAGCCGGACUGAGAGUACCUGAAGAAAAAGCAUCGGCUAACUCCGUGCCAGCAGCCGCGGGAAUACGGAGGAUUCCAGCGUUAUCCGGAUUUAUUGGGUUUAAAGGGUGCGUAGGCGGGAUGCCAAGUCAGAGGUAAAAUCCGGGGGCCUAACCUCGCCACGGCGUUUGAAAUGGGCGUGCUUGAGAGGACGAGAGGUAUGCGGAAUGCGUGGUGUAGCGGUGAAAUGCAUAGAGAUCACGCAGAACUCCGAUUGCGAAGGCAGCAUACCGGGGCCCAACUGACGCUGAGGCACGAAAGCGUGGGUAUCAAACAGGAUUAGAUACCCGAGUAGUC
This 461-nucleotide ribosomal RNA is filed under the name uncultured bacterium. RNAcentral describes it as "partial 16S ribosomal RNA". It matches the Rfam family "Bacterial small subunit ribosomal RNA", at positions 338 to 795 of the family's 1533-position model. The record is from RNAcentral.